GAUGAACGCUGGCGGUACGUCUGACACAUGCAAGUCGAACGGUAAGCCACCUUCGGUGGCCUAGAGUGGCGAACGGCUGAGUAACACGUAGGAACCUACCCCUCAGUUCGGGAUAACGGGACGAAAGCCCCGCUAAUACCGGAUAAUAUCGAAAGAUUGAAAGGUUUACUGCUGAGGGAGGGGCCUGCGGGCUAUUAGCUUGAUGGUGGGGUAACGGCUCACCAUGGCGAUGAUGGCUAGCUGGUCUGAGAGGAUGAUCAGCCAGACUGGGACUGAGACACGGCCCAGACUCCUACGGGAGGCAGCAGUUCAGAAUCUUGCACAAUGGGCGAAAGCCUGAUGCAGCGAUACCGCGUGGGUGAAGAAGGCCUU
Molecule: ribosomal RNA, 372 nt
Filed under: uncultured bacterium
Lineage: Bacteria
Description: bacterial SSU rRNA
Rfam family: Bacterial small subunit ribosomal RNA
Source: RNAcentral